Molecule: long non-coding RNA, 10755 nt
Organism: Andrographis paniculata
Lineage: Eukaryota; Viridiplantae; Streptophyta; Magnoliopsida; Lamiales; Acanthaceae
Exons: 2
Source: RefSeq, a predicted model, not a curated record
UUAUGUUGAGUCAAUCUUCAUAUACCCUAUAACUUGAUCAUGACUUAUAAUUAGUAUACAAUAUAAGGUAAUUCUAACAAAAUUGACUUACAAUGCCCAACAAUAUAGACAAUUUAGGAAAUAUCCAAUAUCAUAACCAGGGGCAAUAAGACAAACACACCUAUUGUUUUAGCUUAACAUAUUUCAUCUUAGGCAUUCUUAGUAAUCUUGAUAUCAUGAAACAUCCAAGUGCCCCAAGAUUCUUAUUUUCGAAAUGUAGAAAUAAACAUUCUUUUAGCUACCAAAUUUCAUUCUAAUCAUUCAUAGUAAUGACGAUAUCAUCAAUGUAGACAAGCGAGGUACAAAACUUGACAAGUGAGUUACAAGAUUUCACUUUCUCAACUUAUAAAUGACCGAAAGUUAAUAAUUCUAUCCCUUCCAUUGUAGCAAUAAAUCAUUCAUUCAUAAAUACCGUCUAGAUUAACUCACUUGUAUUUCUAAAUUAGUUGUGUUCUAAUUAAUUGCCUAUUCAUGUACUCUAUUUAUACCUGAGGAAUCUUUGUAUUCUCCCAAUUAUUUUCCUAUUUUAAGAUAUAAAUGUAACACCAAUUUAGUCUUUCCUUCUCCUUCUACUCUCAUGGGCGACAUAAACAUAACGUAUUUGCAGCCAUUGGUGUUGCUAAGAUGUGGAGGUUUGAUGUGGUUGCCAAUACUCACCGUCCAUAAUAUCACUUUUGCAUUAUCCACGAUCAAUGACAUGGACAUAGAACACAAACAAGAAAAUAGAACACAAAGAAUUAUGUGAUUCGACCGAUAAAGAUUAUCGACCUACGUUCGCAAGGGCAACAAAAAAAAUUCUUAUUUCUACAAUAUAAAGAGGCACACUUUACAAGUACAAGAGAUGGCAUUUAUAGACUAAAGUUUAAGGUUAAUCGCGAUUGGGCCCAAACUCCAAUAAGCCCAUUAGGGUCAAUUACCCCUAAAGAAGUCUACACUUAAGAAUGGAUUCAUCAAUGGCUUUAAAGUGUAUUUAUUUUAUACUAGCUAGUGUCAGUGUACUAGCCUGCUCCAAUUGGACUGUCUUCGUCCUUGUCAUCGUUUAUCAUACCUUCUUAAGAUUACUCACUAGUCUAUAGAAUGUUCGUACAACAAUAUGACAACACUUGGUAUAUGGACUUCGGUGUUCCAUUCUUACCUUAACACCUUUUAUUCUAGUACAUUGUCUCGUAUAUCUUGCUCCACUUGGCUCAAGGGGAUAUAGCUCAAUUGGUAUAGCUCCUUGCUUUUUCAGGAUAAAAAAGGGUUGAGAAAAUGCCUCGAGCUAAUGUUUGAGCGCCAGGCGCUGAAGUAACCACACCAUACUUAUAGGAGAAGUUCGAAAAAAGGGAUAGUGCAAUAGAAGUCUCGAGAAUUCAAGAGAAGGUCACGGAGAUGGGAGCCGUUUAUCAUUACAAUAGGUGUCAAGUGGAAGUGCAUUAAUGUAUGCAAGAAUGAAUACACCAAAAUAAGUUGAAUAGAGUUCCCCAGAGAAUGAACUAUAGGAAGGCAAUCGGAAUGACUAAACUAUAGGAAGGCAAUCGGAAUGACUAUGAGAAAAUAGGCUAAAGUAGUAAAAAUAAAUGAAUGUUAGACACAAGAAAGAAGCUAUCGAAUCUCAUUUAAGUUGGGCCAACCUAUCCAUACACUACUAAUUCUUCUUCUGCUUAUAAAAAUCAAAAGGUGAUCACUCACACUCGGCUAGAUAAGAAACUAAAAAAAUGAUAAACCUUACGGGUUGACGCCACAAAUUCGUGAUUGUCUGAUAAUGGGCAGGAAUACCCUCUUUUUGCUAAACAUGAUGUGAUGAACUGAUAAUCCAAUAUAUACUUUUUAUGAAUGUCAACUAAGUAUGCAACACUGUCUCAUUUGUCUUGUUCUUCUCAUCUUGUCAUCUGUGAUGGCACACUACCCAUCAUAUGUUCUCCAAGCUUAUAAAAUGUCCCAAACUUGCAAAUUUUGUUUUCGUCCUUAAAUCGACAACCGACAAUGAAUUCCAUAAAACUUGACCCUGUUAGUUUAUUAAGGAUCCCCAAAACACACAAUCUUCUUCGCAGCAAUAGCUUUGAUGAUUUGUACCCACUUUGACUACAUUUCUCACCAUGUGCCAUCCUCGUCCAGCCUUACACGAUUACUAUAUGGUUCCGUCUCUUUGGUUGCCCAAAUUAUUUAACUUGGCAUUAUCAUAUUCUCUAUUUAAAAGAUUGACACCAAAAUUUGUCAUGCAUGUCAACUCGAAGAGUAUGUUACUCAUUUUCUCCUUUUUUUUCCCACUCGGUAUCGAUUGACAUAAUACAAUGUAAUCUACGGACAUUCCCCCUAAUAUGUGUGCUUUAAAUAUGAUCAUGUUUGCUUGGGUAAUCACAAGCACACAUUACAUGGGACAUUUUUAACAAAAUCAAAUUUGAAAUUACAAAUGCACAUUACAUUGGACAUUUAUUAACAAAAUCAAAUUUGAAACCUUUCAAGACUUCGUAAAUUCUCAUUCUUAAAUUGACUUACAUUCACUUCUCUCUCUCUUUCAUACAACGUGACAAUAAUAAAGAAUGCAAAAAUAUUGCUUGAGAUUUCUUAUUAACACAUAUCUGCCUUCGUUUCUAUGACUCUUGCACAUUGCAACAAAAUGGCAAUGCCAAAUGCAUCUCCACACCAUUAAUAACAUUAUGUGCAUUUUACUCUUUCAAGUCAGCCUUUCCUUUCUUUUUGGGUUAAAGCUUUACACAUAGCCACAACCCUAAAUAGACUCCAUAUCAUUCACAACGAAAUCCCUCAUUAAUCUUUGUGUAGCUCACUGCUAGACUAUUCGCAUAUACAUGUUUUCACUUGUUAUCUUGUCCAUAUCUAGCCACAAACUAGCACCACAUUCCACCAAAUGAACUUUUCUUGUUUAUCCAACCAAUCACAAAGGUUAUUGUUACCUCAAAUUUGUCUUUAAAAUGUAUCAUCUUUAGGCAUAUUUUUAUGAAGAUUAUUUGUUUGAUAUGCUACUCACUAUCUCAGUAGUUGUCCUCUGAUAGGUUCCUCUGAUAGGUUCCUUGACUAUCAUAUCAGCCAUACAGAAAAAUAUUCUUAUCAUCGACUUCGUUGGCUGGUUUGGCCACUUUUGACAAUGGCAUUAACCAUCUCGUAUGCUCAAAUUGCAUGGAAGCCAAGCACUGGCAAGCAUACCGUGACCUCUACCAAUGCAAUACCUACAUUGCUUCAUGCUUUGCUCAAUAAGAAAGUUAUGUUCUGGUACCCGUUCAUUAUGUAGAUUUAUCUCUGAUGGAUAUGCACUAGACUUUCUUCUUCGGUCGAUAACUGUCCGUACACCUCGACAAUGACUUUGGCUUCCAUGGUCAAUGCUGCACUUGUUGGCAUGUUCUACUAACUGAUGGGACACGUCCACCCCAACAAUGAGACAUCAACUAAUGCAAACUCGAGAGAAGGAAGACAUUUAAGUUCCCUAGGAUUUCCCCGCCUAUAUAGCCUUAACAACCAAUUCUCUUUUAUAUGCCCAACAACUGACACGACCGGCCACUUGGCCUCGCAUGCUGUGAAAGCCAGGAUAGCCAUCCCUUGUGCGCAACAAGCUUGAGGAUUGCUGAUAAUGAGAGAUAUAUGCAGGACACAUAACUAUACGAGAUAUAGGUAUAUGGACAAGGGUUCACACACAUGGAAUAGAUUAUGGCCAAAACUUGGGGCAAAUUUGUCAACCCGUGAGAACACUCCCCCACCUCACGCUACAACACCAUCGAGCAUAUUCCCUCCCUAAAAAUUUACAAUAGAGUUGCAUACACAAGGGCAGUAUCACGGGCCUUUUGAGUAUGUGAGAUUAUAUAGUACCAAAUUUCCUUUAACCUAUUUAAGAACCUACAAAUGUCACUGAUUGUUGGGCCCAUGGAAUCCCGUCAGGACAUAAUCAUGGAAAUAUCCUCAUCCCAUGCUUUAAUUGUUGGAUCAUUUUUUAUGGUCCAAGUAGGUGAUUAGGUAUGUGUAUUCAAUUUGGGACUAUUUGACAUAGUUCUUCCCACUAAACCUGUUGAAUGCCCGGAUAUUUUGCAUUUCCCCAAAUUUUUGAACAAAAUUAAAUUCUUUGAAAGGGUUGGAAUUAAUAAAGAUGGGAGAUUUUUGACAUUGACUUGGUGAAGAAGAGAAAUUCACCGCCUUUAAGAGUUGAACAAAAACACAACAAUGAAGGUUGUUUGAAGAAGACCAUAAAACCUUUAAAAAAUUCUUAGGGUUGUAUUCUUUUGUGGAUUUUACCCAAUUUUUACUAUUCAGAUUUUUUUUUCCUCAAAAAUAUUAAAUCAAACAAUUACUUCUCUUUUAUUUAUAUUAUACUACAAAUUUAUAGUAUAAUAUAUUACAUCAACUUAUAUUUAUAUUACAUUAAACAACUAUUCAAAUUCAACAUUUUACUAUUAAAAAAUCCAAACCCACAAUUAUUUUAAUUGAUAAUACACAAUGUAAAAUAGAAAAUUUUAAGGAAAAAAAAAACAAUUUAAGGGAAAAAAAAACUAUUUAAGGGACUACAUAAUGAUUCUAUUAACAUAAUUACAGAGCUAUUUACAGCACAAUUAUUCCUUGACAUAGUUCACUAAGCAUUAUUCUAGUAUUUCCUUAACCAUUGUCACUUGUUCGAAUAAUAGUUAGGUGUGUUAGAUGUCAGAAAUGCAAAUAGUUCACGAAGCACUAUUUAGUAUUUCCUUGACCAUUGUCACUUGUUCGAAUAAUAGUUAGGUGUGUUAGAUGUCAUAAAUGCAAAUAGGGUAAGUCCCAUAUUACUUGUCUGAAUUGGAGAAAUUUUUAUUUUUCAUAAUUUAAAUCCUCAAUAUGGAAGAUGUGACUUUCUGUGUGGUUUCCUUGACCUUUGUCAUUGAUACCUAGUAAGCGAAUGAGGUAGACGUCAACAAUGCAAAUAGGAUAAGUCCUAAGAUAAUCAUCCAAAUUGAAGACGGUCUUUAUCUUUUCUUAGCUUAAGUCGUUGAUUAAGGAAGCAUGACUUCAAAAAUUGAGGUUUCCUUGAGCCUCGUCACCUGAUUGAAUAGACAAAUGCAAUUGAAGAUGUCACAAAAGUAAAUUGGGUAAAUCCCAUAAUAUCUUGAUCUUUACACCAAUUUAUAGGCAAAUAAGGUAGAAAACCGAAAUGCAAAUAGGGUAAAACCCAUGACAAUUGUCCAAAUUGAAGACAAUCUUGAUUUUUGCACAACAUAGUGCUCAAUUUAGGUGUCCGUGGUUGAUUUUAUGCCUAUAGAGGAAAAUAGCUUACUCCUACAUAUUGUUAGAUAGGUUGAGGAAAAUGGACUAUAGGAAGAUCCGAUUGAGCUACCCUAACGUAGAGUUUUAAUCUUGAUUCGAAAAUCCAUAAUUAUAAGGUAGAAAGUUCCCUCAAUAGCAUAAUGAUUGAUCCCCAAACAUUCUAAUUCUUGAAAGUGGCCACUAAACCGUCAUGAUCCCAAAACGAGCAACAAAGAAUUCCAUGGUUAUGUACUUAUCUAGAGCAUAAUUUUGAUAUGAGAUUUAACCAACGAUUGUAGCACUUAAUUUGCUAAUGUUCACAGAAUGUGUAUAUUCUCCAAUCACAAUUUGGAUAGAGGCGCACAUUGAUUCCCAUUAAAGGGUAAGGUAAAAGUGUUGGUAGAAGCCAUCCAUUCUCCGAGAGAAGUCAUACUGGACUAGACUUAAAAGGUUUGGAUGCUAGUCAAAGUAUCUUAAACAUCAGUAAAUUGGAAGAACAAAUUUACUACUACAUAAAAACCACAUUGUUUGGUCUUGUUUGGUUAUAAAAGAGAUUCAACGAAUCUGUCAUUGUUUGAAGAAGUUUGAUAAGGGACUAAGAAUGAGAGCCUAUCCUCAAGGGUAGUUCGCUGUGAAGUAUCCACCAAGAAAGAUGAUGACCGUGUUAGUCAAUGGUGAAAGUUGUUGUAGAGUUUGAUAGGCGAAGAGGAAAUGAGUGUUAGCCAAUAGUGAAAGUUGUUGGAGAGUUUGAUAGGCGAAGAGGAAAUGAGAACGCAUUGUUAAAGAAAGCAUUGCAUGAAGGGUCAACCCAUGGAAGUGACACAACUGAUUGUUGACGUGUGUAGAGGUUUCUCCACAUCGCAACAAGCUUCUUAAGGACUUAGUAAAUUGGGUUUUAAGUUUGAUUUAGGGGCUUCUUAACAAUUAAAUUGAUUUCAAAGGGUAGGAAAUUUGUGGUGCAACAGCAUCCAACCAAGGAUUCUUUAACUUACUUUUUUAUCUACACUUUAUCAAGGUACCUAAGAUCUACACAUAACAAGAAACAUCUCAAUGAUCAAAUUAUUUGAUCAUUUUGUUUCACAUAAUUAUUGCAAGAAAUAUUUGACUUAGUACCAAAGUCAAUUUAUAAGAGCUCCGUGUGCCUUGUAGCCAUCUCAUAAACAUGCAUGUUUUCAAAUUUCAGUAAGAGAUCUUUAUUAAUAUGCCGAUGAGAUCUAAGAAUAGUUUCUAUUGCAUCAAAUGGCAAAAUAGUGUAUAGUGAUUUUAGCACUAACAUGACAUCAGAUGGCAAAAAUAAUGGAUAGUGACUUCUUGUAAAAGUUCUAUUGCCUUGUGUUUGUUUGGAGGUUUGGAUUUUGAGUUGAGAUUUGAAUAGUAAAAAUUUUGAAUUUAAAUAGUUAUAUGAUGUGAUAUAAAUAGGUGUUGAUGUGAUGUUUUGAAUGUAAAAUUGAUUUUUAGUAUAAUAUAAAAAUGAAAAAUAGGUGUUUGAUUUGAUGUUUUUGGGUGAAAAAAAUGGGAUGAAUAGUGAAAAUUAAAUCCAAUCUCCCAAACAAACACACCCUUAAUAGUGAAUCACAUCAAACACAUUAUUUUCCGUAGUAUUUUCCUAUCAACAUGUACAAUUGUAUAGUAAGAACAAAAUUUCUAAAAUAAGAAUUAUUACAAACACUUAAUCUAGUAAUAAGGUAAUAAGAUCUUUUGAGUCUCUCGUUAUGUAGUUAAUCCGGUACUUAAUCCGGUAAUAAGAUCUUAUGAAUCACCGAGUCUCUAUGUAGCCCAAAGUUCAACUAUAGUAGCCUUUUUCUUGUCAAUGUUAACUCCCCCAUUUUCUCCAUCUAUUAGUAAUGUACAUGUACUUUAUUAACACGUGCUAAUGAAAGCAAUUCAAUUACAAAUUAAACUUGUUGGAAAUGUAUAGUUUCAAUUGGAAUGUUGUUCCUUUAGUUCUAUUUCAUGUAGCCCCAAGCCAACCAUUGUAUGAAAAAAUAUCUAAAAAAAAAAGAAAACCUUCGCAUUUUGAUAGAGCAGCCAUCUCAUGUACAAGCCAGGGACACUACACCUUUAUUCUUUGUGCAUUUUUUUUACAAGAUUCUACUAUUCAAUUUUUAUUUUUCAAAAAAAUUAAAAAUUAAUUUUACUUUUAAGAUAUCACAUUACUAUCUAUUUAUUUAUAUCACAUCAAAUAACGUUAUUCUAAUUCAAACUUUUACUAUUAAAAAAAUUCAAAUCCACAAAUGCUAUUUUCCAUGACAAGUAUAAUAAAUAGUCAAAUAACAAAAAACAUAUUUGAUUUCAACACAUAUUUGAUUUCAACUAUAUAUUAAACACCCUCUCAUGAACAAGCAAACUUUUCUCUACGGGAAAAGAAGGCCAAUGUUAUUUGGAGACAAGAAUUUUAUCAACACCAAAUUCUUCCAUAGUUUGGUUGCAACUUCCCAAGCCUCAAACAAAAAUUUCGCUUAUUAAAUGGGUCAUAGGUUAAUUCAUUUUGAGAUGCCAAAAUAGGAAUGAUUUUGUAUUUUUUAGUGUAUUUUUUGAGUUUCAAAGUCCAAUGGUUAUCUCUGGUUCGGUUAAGAAUCAAGUGGAUUCUUCCGAAGAACCGGAAGCGAAGCGCUAUGCUGGGGCGGGGGGACGGGAAAAGAAAGGGCUCCGAGAUCCCCGAGACAAGUUUGUAGCCUCUUGUUCGGCCUUUUUCCAUUGAGAGAGAUUAAAAAGGCUCGUUUUAUGUUUUGGAGACAACCAUUGAAAUAGGUAAAAGUUAAUUUGGACUUCUUUGAAGCCUUUACGGAGACCUUUAAAGAAUGAUGCCAUUCAAUUUUUUGAGAUUUUUAAAUUUAGACUACUUUAUACCCCAUGGAGUGGGCGAUUUGUUUUUCGUCCUAAUAAUAGUAAGAUCUCAUGCCCAAAAAAUGCAUAAUUCUUUCAUCCAAUAUCCGUAAUUGACACAUAUUUAACUCUUAGCCUAGACGCUUUCCAGAUGUUCUUAGUUUUAUUAUUAGCCCCAUAUAGAUUGGUCACACAUCAUAUGCAUUGGAUAGUGCACUUAUUGCUAAUAAAGUUGUGAACAACCUUAAGCAUAGUAAAAACAAGGGUUUUAUUGCCUUUCAGAUGCUCUUAGCUUUAUUAGUAGCCCCCUCUAGAUUGGUCACAUAUCAUAUGCAUUGGGUGGAGCACUUAUUGCUAAUAAAGUUGUGAACAAUCUUAAGCAUAGUAAAAGCAAGGGUUUUAUUCUUAAGUUGGGCAUUGGAAAAGCUUUUGAUAUGUAAUGGGAUGCCUUAUUUCUCGUCCUGAGCAAAAUGGGUUUCCAAGAUAGGGUUUACUCAUCUUAUAUGCAACUUCAUUUGUGUGAAUCAAAUGUGUAGAAAGAUGUUACUCACCAGCCAAAACUUAAUUUGUCUAAAAAUGAAGUUUCGUGGCCUUAGGAUGAUUUUCCUUGAGUCCUUGAAUAAAGAACUUAUAAAGUGGGCCGGGUGUUUCCAAGAUAACUCAACCCUCUAAAAGGCCAUUUUAAACAUGACAUCUUUGCCAAUUCAACUCGGCCUUACCUUUUCUUGGAUGUUUCAUGCUCUAGUCUUAUAUUUAGAUUCAUUUCAUUUAUGAGAUAACCCUUCAUUAGUUCUUAAACUCCUUGUUGCACCAAUCAUCUUAAUUCUAAAUUAGACACAUGGAUUAUAACUAUUAUCAUGUCAUUUUCUGCAAGCACCUGUGAGUGUCAAACCUAGAAUUAAAAUCAUUUAAGUACGGUAAUGAGUGAAAAACAGUCAUUUUCAAACACGGUUAAUUUUAAUGAUCAAAAUGAUAAGUGGGGCAAUUUGCGGACCAAAAUUUAUCUUUUUUCUAAUAAUAUAGAAUAGCUUGGAUAAAAGAAAUCCCUUUAAUUGCGGCCAACUUUAUUUCCAUUGGUUUUUAAGUUCUUUUGUUUCAUGGGUUAUGAGUCGUGCCAUGUCUUAAGUUCUACAAAAGUUAUAUAUCUACAUAUUGCAAACUAGUCUCAUUCUACAAUGGUAACACUCAGGCCCGCAAGUCACGCAAAGUCGGGCGUGCCGGGAUCGUAGACUAACUUCACAGGUCAACACGAGUCAUUUUAGCGUGCUUCUGUCUUCGCUGACGCACACUUGAUUUUAUAGUGUUUUUUUAGUAGAUCUACCGGAAAAAAAAUAUGCACAUUGUUGACAUGAUUCAAUCCAUUUAACCUUUAAUCAACUUUGGAUGGUCAAAUAUCGAUUCAUCCACAUAUGAUAGUUGGCCAAGCAAUGGCCCAACGCUAGGGGUAUCACAUCCUCCCCCACUUAGAAUGCAAGUGCCGCAUUGCGCUAAAAAAAUCGUCAACUACUAGGCCCGUCAACAGUCCGGUCAAGGACUAUGGACUAUCGAAGAUCGGCUCUAAUACCAAUUGUGACACCCCGGCUCGCAAUCCAUACAAAGUCGAGCGUGUUGGGAUCAUAAACUAGCCCCACAGGUCAACACGGGUUCUUUUAGCACACUUCUAACCUCACUUACGCGCAUUCUGAAAAACUUACCAGAGUAUCACUCAUGUUCAAAUUACUUUAAAGUAAGUACGCUUAACUUUAGAGUUCUUUCAGUAUAGCUCCCGAAAAAAAAUAUAUACAUUGUUGACAUGAGUAAUCUAUUCAAAAUUGUUAUAUUCAAGACGGCAUGUGUAUAUAUGAUGGCUUAAACGUAGAUCUUUCUAUUUGGUUAAGAUUGGUGUACGAUUUUUCCUUGAUGUUCUCCUACCUUACGAUGAUACUAUUGCUCAUGCAACCAGUCUAGAGUCACAAUAGAUAAGCCAUGCUAGUAUGAGCUGGUGAUUUUUGGCGAGAUGAAUUUGCUCUCAUGAAUAAUUUAUGACGACUUGUUUGCAAGGAUUAUCUGCGACCUCUUCCAAAUAUCAACUAUAAACAACAAUAGUGGCACGUACAAACAUAUAAUAUUGUAAAAGUACUACAAAUUAUAAUGCAUUAUAAAUAUUUUCAUUAGAUCAUAUAAACAUAAAUUAAAAUAUAUAAAAGUACCAGAAACUAAAGAACAAUACCAGAAACUAAAGAACACAAUAAACCAACUUUACACAUUCCAUAUAAAUAACUACUAUAAAUUUUACAAUUUGCUAAAGGUUCACAUAAAAAGCAAAGCUAUUUCCCCUCGCAUGGGAUUGUAACUUAAAUAGUUGAGCUACUCUCAUUAGACCCUAGAGGAUUGGGGUUCAGUCCACAAUUGGAUGCGAGUAGAAUAAUAAAUAUGACCUCUUAAAUGGGAGAGUACUUGAAAGAAUUGACCCAAGUUGGGUGACGGUAACUUGUGAUCAACAUAAAUAAUGAUUUUCUUUAUGAGUGACCCCAACUUUUGGAACUUUUGAUAUCAUUCAUUUACAGUAACUUUUUUUAAAAAUAAAACAUCAAAUACAUUAUUUCUCAUAAAAUAUUAUUCGGACACUAACUUUUUUACUAUUUUCAAAUUAAAGCCUAGUUUAUUGAGAUAUGAACAGCUAGGAUUGCAUUCUAUAAACAUGCAUGUAUAUAA